CCUACGGGAGGCAGCAGUGGGGAAUCUUCCGCAAUGGACGAAAGUCUGACGGAGCAACGCCGCGUGAGUGAUGACGGCCUUCGGGUUGUAAAGCUCUGUGAUCGGGGACGAAUGGCUGGUAUGCUAAUACCAUAUCAGAGUGACGGUACCCGAAUAGCAAGCCACGGCUAACUACGUGCCAGCAGCCGCGGUAAUACGUAGGUGGCAAGCGUUGUCCGGAAUUAUUGGGCGUAAAGCGCGCGCAGGCGGCUUCUUAAGUCCAUCUUAAAAGUGCGGGGCUUAACCCCGUGAUGGGAUGGAAACUGGGAGGCUGGAGUAUCGGAGAGGAAAGUGGAAUUCCUAGUGUAGCGGUGAAAUGCGUAGAGAUUAGGAAGAACACCGGUGGCGAAGGCGACUUUCUGGACGACAACUGACGCUGAGGCGCGAAAGCGUGGGGAGC
Molecule: ribosomal RNA, 439 nt
Filed under: uncultured Dialister sp.
Lineage: Bacteria; Bacillati; Bacillota; Negativicutes; Veillonellales; Veillonellaceae
Description: bacterial SSU rRNA
Rfam family: Bacterial small subunit ribosomal RNA
Source: RNAcentral